Molecule: long non-coding RNA, 841 nt
Organism: Tachysurus vachellii
Lineage: Eukaryota; Metazoa; Chordata; Actinopteri; Siluriformes; Bagridae
Exons: 2
Source: RefSeq, a predicted model, not a curated record
AAACAACAACACUGGACUUUAUUCAGUACUUUAAAUUCUAGUUACAUUGUUUUUUUUAAUGUUAUAUUCCAUUUGGGAAAAUUGUCCUUAAGCAGAGGACCAUGUGUAAAUGUGCAUAAUGACUGCUGGGUUGAUACAUUUACAGAUUUACUGGGAAUUCUGCAUAAUUAUUUUUCCCCAAAUGGGUCAUAACAUAUUUUUCAUUAACCACCACAACAGAUUGACUGAUGAACCUUUGUUGCAAAUUCAGAAUCAUAUAUAGAACGAAUCUGGCCUGAAGUCAACAGUCGUGUCAACUAUCCACUAAAGACAGCUCUUCUGCAGUUGGUGGAUCAAGAGGAAAUAUACUUGAACAUCAGCCUUGUGAGAUACUGUGUGUCAAACCUGACUGGCCAGUUGUGCCAGAUUGGUCUUACAGGGCUGGUGGAGUCAUGGAAUGCUCACCGAAUUCCAGGUAAAGGUGUACCAAAUGACUUGGCUGGCUGUGGAUGUCCCAAAAAAAUCCCACAGGAGCUGCUGCCUCAUUCAGUUGACUUUUGGAGUUGAUCCAUUUUCAACUGAACAGGACAAACUUAGAGUUGAGAAUCAGUUUGCUGAGCAAUAUUCAGACAUUUCAGACUUGUUCUCUAGAGCAGUGAACAAUGACUUGGCUCCGUACAAACAGGCAUUGCUCUGUCUUAUAACCACAACUCAGCGCAAUGUGUGAAAAGCAGAUUGCUCUAUUUGAACAGAAUGUAAAUUUGUAACAAGAACAAUGAACACCAAUCACAUCAACCAGCCUAAACAUGUAAAUAAAUUAACAUUACAACUCAAUUUUUGAAUCAAUAAAACAAAGUCAAAU